CUCACAGAACAAAGCCCGCCGCUAAACAUGUUGUGGACAUCGAAAGAGAGAAUACUUCAAGCAAGGAAAAAUCGAACAGUUUCGGAUUUUUUGGAGGAAGGUUCGGUCCAGGUCCACCCAGUACUCAUGGUGAUCGACUUCAUACUUUUAAAUGGUGAAGGUAAACAUGUUCUCCUUUUCUUUUUCUCAUACCAUAACACAUAAUGAAGAAUAUAUAACAACUGGAAGUGCCACUAUGUUAGAGCAGUAAAAGCCUAUUGUGAUUGAGAAAUAGUUGUGGGAUUCAAAUUCUCCUUAUGCCCAAAGGAUUCAGAGAAAGGGGGGAAAAAGAAAACAUACAUCUCUCUCUUAUCUCUUACUAUAGCUUUAUAAAUUCCUCAGGAGUCUCGAGUAAAUUUAUAUUCUAUUCUUUUGGUUGUCUGCAAUUGGGUGAUGCAGACUUGAAUAGUGACUUGCAAGGGCAUUACGGCCACCUUUUAUAAUGUUAUCAAAUUCAUUGCUUGGAACAAUUCUUUAAUAAAGAGAGUGCAUGAAUUUGGCAUGCAUAUGGUGGCCUUGUUUUAGUCAUGUAGAUCCUGUUGUCAAUCUUCACUGAUAUGUAUUAAAUUGACAAGGAUGCACCAAAAAUGUUCAUGGUGUUUGACGAGCAUGAAGUUCAUGGUGGUGGAGAGGUUAGAUGAGUUACUCUCGUAGAGAGCAGCAGUACGAUACGAUGUUCUAAUGCAGACGACGCUGAUAACAGAGAUGCUGACAACGACGAUGACGAGGAAUGAGUGAUACUUGAUUAUAUGUAGUUUUCAAUUGUGUGAAGACAUAUUAUGACUUGAAUUUUACCUAUAUGUAAUAUAUUUGUGAUUUUAUUGCGUAGUGAAUGAAUAUUAUUUGAGCAUGCGAGAUGUAUUAUGAUUGUGAUUAUAUGAUGAGUAUUGUUCGAUAUUGUGGAUUGACGGAUGAAAUUGGAUGAGUAUUCAUUUGGAAUGUGAAUGUAUAUCAUGGUUGAUUUUAUGAUAUAUUGUUAAAUAUUAUCAUU
This is a long non-coding RNA of Asparagus officinalis (garden asparagus), 1030 nucleotides long. RefSeq lists it as uncharacterized. Lineage: Eukaryota; Viridiplantae; Streptophyta; Magnoliopsida; Asparagales; Asparagaceae. The record is from RefSeq and is a predicted model, not a curated record. The transcript has 4 exons.